This 396-nucleotide ribosomal RNA is filed under the name uncultured bacterium. RNAcentral describes it as "partial 16S ribosomal RNA". It matches the Rfam family "Bacterial small subunit ribosomal RNA", at positions 523 to 918 of the family's 1533-position model. The record is from RNAcentral.
AUACGUAGGGAGCGAGCGUUGUCCGGAAUUACUGGGUGUAAAGGGAGCGUAGGCGGGAGUGCAAGUCAGAUGUGAAAUACAUGGGCUCAACCCAUGGGCUGCAUUUGAAACUGCAUUUCUUGAGUGAAGUAGAGGUAAGCGGAAUUCCUGGUGUAGCGGUGAAAUGCGUAGAUAUCAGGAGGAACACCGGUGGCGAAGGCGGCUUACUUGGCUUUUACUGACGCUGAGGCUCGAAAGCGUGGGGAGCAAACAGGAUUAGAUACCCUGGUAGUCCGCGCUGUAAACGAUGAUUACUAGGUGUGGGGGGACUGACCCCUUCCGUUCCGCAGUUAACACAAUAAGUAAUCCACCUGGGGAGUACGGCCGCAAGGUUGAAACUCAAAUGAAUUGACGGGG